Molecule: long non-coding RNA, 7557 nt
Organism: Salvia splendens (bonfire salvia)
Lineage: Eukaryota; Viridiplantae; Streptophyta; Magnoliopsida; Lamiales; Lamiaceae
Exons: 29
Source: RefSeq, a predicted model, not a curated record
GGAAUAUUAGCAAAAGGAGAUAAUACCGACUUCCUUCCCAAAGGCCAUUGAUAUUCCACGGCUUCUUCUUCGUCGAUGUUUAGCCCUUCUUUCGAUAAGUGCUUCCAGAGCACUCUUAUCAGCCGCAUGACAUGAUUGUUGAAAACCAAAAGCCAAAAAAGAGUUGUGAAGCAGUUGAUCAUGCUAAGAGAUUGGAGGAGGAUUCAAUGAUUUUGCUUAAAGGGUAAUCAUGAUGUCAGCAAGCACUAGGGCAGAAAGUGGGGAGAAAAAAAGGAAAAAAAAAGAAACAGAAGAAAAAAAGAGAUAGCAGAUCUGUACAAAAAAAAAGAAAAGAAAAAAUUGGUCUUACAGAUCUAGAAAAAAAAUAGAGUGAUCCAAGAAAAUGUGAAACAAAAAAUAGCCCGAAUAAGCUGUGGAAUACUAUGUUAUCCCCUUGUUUGAACCAUGUGGGGAUGAAGUGUUGUCUAAAUAACGAUGAUCAUGAUGAAGAAUCUUCCCAUGAGGCAAACAAAAAGAGCCUAAAAAAACGGAGAAGUUCAAGAAAGCAAAACUUCUGACAUUCACCAUGGCGAGAUGAGCAGCGAGCAUGGCUUGAAAACUGAAGUGAAGAAGAUGGGAUAGAUAAUGCAUUUAUGCAAGAGAGAUCUGGGCUGUUGGAGAAAGAGAACAAGAAGCUUCAUGAUGGGCUCUUUGGUAAAGCUUGGAGAACUCGAAGAAGCCAAGGCAGUGGGAGGUGACUAGACUUCUACUUGCCACACAUACGACUUCAGAGUGUCGAACGUACUCCUGAUUGGCUACUGUCAGAAGGUUCUCUCUGAUAAAUCUGAGGCUCGGCUACGGAAUAUUAGCAAAAGGGGAUAAAUAUCGACUUCCUUCCCAAAGGCCAUUGAUAUUCCACGGCUUCUUCUUCGUCGAUGUUUAGCCCUUCUUUCGAUAAGUGCUUCCAGAGCACUGUUAUCAGCCGCAUGACAUGAUUGUUGAGAACCAAAAGCCAAAAAAGAGUUGUGAAGCAGUUGAUCAUGCUAAGAGAUUGGAGGAGGAUUCAAUGAUUUUGCUUAAAGGGUUAUCAUGAUGUCAGCCAGCACUAGGGCAGAAAGUGGGGAGAAAAAAAGGAAAAAAAAAAAGAAGAAAAAAAGAGAUAGCAGAUCUGUGGAAAAAAAAGAAAAGAAAAAAUUGGUCUCACAGAUCUAGAAAAAAAAAUAGUGAUCAACUAAAAUGUGAAGCAAAAAAUAGCCCGAAUAAGCUGUGGAAUACUAUGUUAUCCCCUUGUUUGAACCAUGUGGGGAUGAAGUGUUGUCUAAAUUAUGAUGAUCAUGAUGAAGAAUCUUCCCAUGAGGCAAACAAAAAGAGCCUAAAAAAAACGGAGAAGUUCAAGAGUGCAAAAAUUCUGACAUUCACCAUGGCGAGACGAGCAGCGAGCAUGGCUUGAAAUCUGAAGUGAAAAAGAUGGGAUAGAUAAUGCAUUUAUGCAAGAGAGAUCUGGGCUGUUGGAGGAAGAGAACAAGAAGCUUCAUGAUGGGCUCUUUGGUAAAGCUUGGAGAACUCGAAGAUGCCAGGGCAGUGGGAGAUGACUAGACUUCUACUUGCCACACAUACGACUUCAGAGUGUCGAACGUACUCCUGAUCGGCUACUGUCAGAAGGGUCUCUCUGAUAAAUCUGAGGCCCGGCUACGGAAUAUUAGCAAAUGGGGAUAAAUACCGACUUCCCUUCCCAAAGACCAUUGAUAUUCCACGGUUUCUUCUUCGUCGAUAUUUAGCCCUUCUUUCGAUAAGUGCUUCCAGAGCUCUCUUAUCGGCCGCAUGACAUGAUUGUUGAGAACCAAAAGCCAAAAAAGAGUUGUGAAGCAGUUGAUCAUGCUAAACGAUUGGAGGAGGAUUCAAUGAUUUUUCUUAGAGGGUUAUCAUGCUGUCCAUUUGGACUCUAUAUGGUUUAUUGACUUGGCUCUGGUUGCAUUGCCUGAGAUUAGGUGUUGGCAACAUGAUCAGAUAUGGGAAUCUGGGCAAAUAAAAUCAAACUCUAUGGAGAAAUCUUUGUUUCAGCUAUCGGACGUUGUGACAGUUUCCACACAAGACCUUCUACCAACCAAUCCUUAGAUACUUGACUAAGUUGAUAAUCUUGCAGAACUAAGUUAUUUGAACGAGCCUUCAACUCUUCACAAUCAUCGGUAUAGAUAAUUACAAGAUAAUAUAUAUAGAAUGGCAGGCCCUGUAUUAUUUCAGUCAGUUCAUUUAAAAAUGCCCAGAUAUAUGGGAAUGAUACAGAAAGAAGCUUUUGGACACUCCUCAUGUUUAUGCUAUUGCUGAUGCAACAUAAAAUGCAACGAUAGCAGAUGACAAUCACCAUGGCGAGACAAGCAGCGAGCAUGGCUAGAGAGCCGAUGUGGGUCAGAUGGGAUAUGGCAUUUAUGCAAGAGAGAUGUGGGAACAGGAGGAAGAGAACAAGAAACUUUGUGAUGGAGUAACGGGAGAUGAAGACGUUGAAUUGGUGAAGCUUCAACUUGAAGCACUUUUGGCAGAGCAAUCAAGACAGGAAAAUGACAAUGCAUACUUGACGAGGGUAACCCAGUUCCUGCAUUUUCGAGUACCACCAGCUGGCAUCACAUGAUAUCUCAUCUUCUUAUGAGAGCUUGCUAUGGGGAAUGCGGUUUGAUUUUUGUCUCCGCAAAAAGGUUUUGAAGAUGAGAGUUUCAACUUUCGACAACCUGACAUCACAUGAUAUCUCAUCUUCUUGUGAGAUAUUGAUUGUAGUCAGCCAACAUUAGGGCAGAAAGUGUAAAUAGAAACAUGGAAGGGGUAGAAUUAAAGCAAAGUGGAGAGAAAAAAAGGAAAAAAAAGAAAAAAGAAGGAAAAAAGAGAAAGCAGAUCUGUGGGAAGAAAAAAAAAGAGAAAAGAAGAAAAAGAAGAGAAAAAAUUGGUGUCACAAAUCUAAAAAAAAAGUAUAAAGCAGUAUCAAAGAAAGAGUUCCAAGAAAAUUUCUGAAGCAGUCUAUCAUGCUAAGUGAUUUAAGGAGGAUUCAGUGCUUUUGCUGAGAGGGUUUGAUUCAUUGGACAAGUUUCUUUCUCAUCUCUCUAACAAUCUUGAGACUGCUCUUGAGGAGGUAAAAGUCAUGUCGGACUACCAACAUUGAGUGAAAUCUUACAUGCCAACAACGAGAAAACCAAAGAUGGAGAAAAUUCUGUAGAGAAACUUCACAAGAGGCAAACAAAAAAGAGCUCAAAAGAAACGGAGAAUGUCAAGAAAGCAAAAAAUGCAACACACAAUCACCAUGGCGAGACGAGCAGCGAGCAAGGCUAGAGAGCCGAUGUGGGUCAGAUGGGAUAUGGCAUUUAUGCAAGAGAGAUCUGGGCUGUUGGAGGAAGAGAACAAGAAGCUCCGUGAUGGGCUCAUUGAUAAAGCAUGGAGAUCUCGAAGAAGCCAAGGCUGUGCUAGAUGACUGGAUUUCAGAGUGCCGAACAUUCUCCUGAUCGGCUACUGUCAGAAAGGUCUCCCUGAUUAAUCCGGGGCUCUGCUUUGGUAUAUUAGCAAAAGGGCAUAUAUACCGACUUCCCUUCACAAAGGCCAUUGAUUUUACACGACUUCAGAGUGCCUAACAUACCCCUUAUCGGCUACUAUGAGAAGGGUCACCCUGAUAAAUACGAGGCUCUGCUUCGGGAUAUUAACAAAAGGGGAUAAAUAUCGACCUCCCUUCACAAAGGCCAUCGAUUUUCCACGUUCUUCAAUGUUUAGUCCUUUUGAUAAGUGCUUCUGGAGCACUCUUAUCAGCCACAUGACAUGAUUGUUGAGAACCAGAAGCUAAAAAGAGUUGUGAAGCAGUUGAUCAUGCUAAGAGAUUGGAGGAGGAUCCAAUGCUUUUGCUUAGAGGGAUAUCAUGCUGUCCAUUUGGACUCUUUAUGGUUUAUGGACUUGGUGCUGGUUGCAUUACCUGAGAUUAGCUAUAUGGGGAUGAUAAAGAAAGAAGCUUUUGGACACUCCUCAUGUUUAUGCUAUUGCUGAUGCAACAUAAAAUGCAACGAUAGCAGUACUAACCAGGAGAAAGAGGGUGGAACAUUCAGAAUUCGGCAUCAUGCCCGGGAGGUUAGUGUACUUGUCAUUUUAGUUUAGUGGAAUAUUUGUACAAAGGCAAUAAUUUAGCUAGAGCAUGGGAACCUCAAGUAGAUUUAGAACUUGAUUAUUGUUGUUAUGCUGUAGUAAACAAUUACUAUGGUUGUUUUCAUGGGUAUGCAUUUGUUAAAUGUUAUCUAGCUAAGUGAAAUUGGAGCUACAAAUAGUGUUCAUGUAUGAUAGAAAAUGUCAAUUUGUACCAUUUGAUUUUGACCGGUUCAGUUAUGAAAAAGCCGUUAGACUUAUUGUAUUGGUGGCUGAAUAUUUAUUGAUCAUCUGCAACAAUGAAAGGCUGAUCCAUUCAUGCUAGUUGUGCUAGUUAUGUACAUUUGUUUGAGACCAUAAUGUGGGUGGGUGUCUUUGUGACUUAUGAUUAGAAUUUCCUUGUCGUAGUGAUGAUAAAGUUUUGAUAACGUAUUAUACAUGCCACUUAAUUCUAGAUAUAGGAUAUGUUACAUUUAUAUGUUCUUUUAGGUUUUUAAAAUUAUAAAUAAAUUAUUUUUGGCUUAAUUAUAUCGAUGUGAGCUUUUUACUGUGGGUUCUUUAUGAGACGGGAAAAUUCUUUGAAAAAAUCAGGAUCCUAUACAUUCUGAAAUUAUCUAGCUACUCUCAUCCUGUUACUGAUAUUCUUUGAUCUCUCGUUGAGAAUUUUCUAUUUUUAAUGCCAAAACGAAAAUGAAGACUGAGAUUUAUAGCACCGUUUAUGAGAAAUCAUUAUUGUUAUGGUCCAUCAAGUUUUGUGAAGUUUUAUGAGCAAGAAUCUGAUUCUUAUGAUGUCAACCUGGAGGGUAUGAACACGAAAGGAUGAGGUCACCAAAUCUCUGACACCUGAAUAGGUUCAUGAUUUCGAAGAUCAAUAAUUACUCGUAUAUGAGUGUUUUACAGCUUGGUUUAAUAGCUAAACCAUCACACUUAUGACAUGUUUAUUUUCCCUCAUAUUUGGGCAAUUGACACAAGAGAUGCAUUGGGCUUGUUCGAAUGGCUUGUGAAGCAGAUAAACUUGUCAUUUUCCUAGGGGAAAGACAAUAUGGGGCGGUCAGUAAGCAUCCUUGAUACGGAUUUGAGUCAGUUAAGUUAUGCUGACGAGUGGCUCGAGCACCAUUUCGAUCAACAUCUCGUCAAACAUGAGCAAGAAAAUAUGAGGUAGAUGGAAAUGACUGGAAGAGGAUUUUGAAGUCAACCAAGAUUGUGUGGAUCCUUUUGAGAAGGUAAUCAGCGUUAUAAUUGUUGUAUAGUAGGGUUUUCCUUUUUCACGCAGUAUUUUGAUUGACAUAGUUCUAUUUAUGUCUAUUAUGGGUAGCAUGAGAAGAAGGGCAACUAAAGCCAUUUUCUGUCAAUCAGUAAAACAUUAAGAUGAACCGUAAUAAUACACCCAACUCAUUUUUCUCAUCUGCUAAUUGUUAUUUUAUCGGACUUUUACCUGCAUUUGUUGAAUAGAUAUAUUUUACUAUCGAACAAAUUGUGUCUCUUUACUGUAUGUUUACAAUGGUGGCCUAGAUCAGACACCUAUUGGAUUCAUAUCAUUGCUGGAUAUAUUUUCAAAUCUUCCCAAAGCUACAUAUGUAACAUUUUCAGCUAAACAUCAGUACUAACCGGGAGAAAGAGGGUGUAACAUUCAGAAUUCGGCAUCAUGCCCGGGAGGUUAGUGUACUUGUCAUUUUACUUUAGUGGAAUAUUUGUACAAAGGCAAUAAUUUAGCUAGAGCAAGGGAACCUCAAGUUGAUUUAGAACUUGAUUAUUAUUGUUAUGCUGUAGUAAUCAAUUACUAUGGUUGUUUUCAUGGGUAUGCAUUUGUUAAAUGUUAUCUAGCUAAAUGAAAUUGGAGCUACAAAUAGUGUUCAUGUAUGAUAGAAAAUGUCAAUUUGUACCAUUUGAUUUUGACCGGUUCAGUUAUGAAAAAUCCGUUAGACUUAUUGUAUUGGUGGCAGAAUAUUUAUUGAUCAUCUGCAACAAUGGAAGGCUGAUCCAUUCAUGCUAGAUGUGCUAGUUAUGUACAAUGGCAGAAUAUUUUUAUAUAUAAUACCUAAUAUACUCGGAGAAUUGCUUGUCUUGUUAACAUAUUGGUUUAGCAAGUUGCUAAUUUUUCUAUCUGGUUUGCUAAUUUUUAUAUUUGCGGAUGAAGUAAGCAUGUCUAUAAUUAUCAUGUUAGCUGCAAGCUAUUCAGUUUAAGCCUGUGUAUAUUUGAUAAUUUUUUAUAUUUGCAGAUGAAGUAAGCCGGAUGAAAUGCUUGUCUUCUUCCUUUGUUCCAUGCUGUAGCUUUGUUUCUAAUAAUUUUUUUUAUCAACUUUAUUUGCCUAUUUCGGUUUGGUGCUAUGUUUAAGUUAAAUGUGAAAAAGAAAAGAGAGUGGAUAGAGGGAAUGAAAUGAGGAAGUUGGCUAUAAGAAUAAAAGUGAUUCAAACAAAGAAAGAAGAUAAAGAGCUGUUGGAGCAGACGAAAUCAGCCACCUCAAGAGUUGUUGCAAGGGACAAAGGGAGUUGAUAAUGAGGCUGACACAGUUCUAAAGAUGCAGGGGAAGAAGAGAAAACUGCCCAAUCUUGGACAUGCCUGAGAUCCUAUGGCAUGCAAAGCUGACCAGCACACAAGAAAUUGCUUGGGGAGUCAAACAAUGACCACAAAGGAAACAUAUGCAAGGAAUAAUUUGAGAAACGUUGGCCUUCAGUUUAAUCGCCUACCUCUAUCUGACUGCUAAAAGGUUUUGUGAAGUUUUAGGAGCAAGAUCUAAUUCUUAUGAUGUCAACCAGGAGAGGUCACCAAAUCUCUUGACACCUGAAUAGGCAAUUGACACAAGAGAUGCAUUGGCAAUGUUUAAGCUUGUUCUAAUGGCCUGUGGAGCAGAUAAACUUGUCACUUUCCUAGGGGAAAGAUAAUAUGGGGCGUUCAGUAAGCAUCCUUUAUAUGGGUUUGAGUCACUUAAGCUGUGCUGACCAGCGGCUCGAGCACCAUUUCAAUCAACAUUUCGUCAAAUAUGAGCAAGAAGUAAGCAUCACACAUAAAAGGCAUUUCAAGUUAUUUCCUUCGGUCUUUCCUUCACAAAACAGAGCCUGCAAGGAUUAAAAAUUGUGAAUCCAUAAACGAAAUCAGCCACGUCAAGAGUUUGUUGCAAGGGAGGAAAGGAGUUGAAAUAGGAGAGGAAUGGGGCUGACACAGUUCUGAAGAUGCAAGGGAAGAAGAGAAAACUUCCCAAUCUUGGACAUGCCUGAGAUCCAAUGACAUGCAAAGCUGACCAGCACACAAGGUAGGCUGAGGUGAAGAAGUGCUUAUGAAGUGAAUCUUUGAAAACAUUGAUGAUGAACAAAAGAUUCAUAAUCUUAUGGUAAUUGUACUAGAGAAUUUGCUUGCAAAUCUAUUUUCUCUUAAUGUAAAGAGACAUAACAGAAUAUGGUCAUACUAGGUCAUUAGAUAAGAUAAGCAUAAUGUAUAGAGACAUAUAGAAUAUAUAUAGUGUAUGUAGUGUA